Non-coding RNA from Thamnophis sirtalis, 1431 nucleotides. NCBI's taxonomy places the organism in Eukaryota, Metazoa, Chordata, Lepidosauria, Squamata, Natricidae. The record is from RefSeq and is a predicted model, not a curated record.
CCUUUAUUUAUUUAUCAGCACAAAUAAAAAAUAAACAAACACACACACACACACAUAUAUAUAAUAUUCAUUCUAUGUUGCUGUUCAGUUGCAUUGAUUAGAAACUUGGGAUUCUUUGAUGAAAUAUCCUUUAUCAUGACUUCUGUGGAAUAUUGAUUUUAUCUAUGGAUCUAUUUUUUCAAAUUGGAAAGUUUAAAUUUGACAAAACAUAUUUUGAAAUAAAUAAGUGUGCAAAGCUGCUUUCCCAGUUUUCUCAGAUGUUUAGAAAUAAUUGUCCUCCAGUCUCAAACUUUCAUUGUAUACCCUCUCACAUAUAUAUACAGUGCCACCUAACAGUUUAACGAACGACUCCCAUACUAUUCUUCAGAUUUUAUAUGGGGAAGUUAUUAUUCAAAAUUUCUAUUUUGAAUAUUUAUUUUGCUUAUGCCCUUGUUCUGCAAAUGUAAUGCUAACAAAAAUAUAUUUUAUUAUAGUUCAUUGAUAUUGGAAUAAUUACAAGUAUUGAAAUAAAUCAUAAACAAGUAGAUGUUGCAAAAAAAGGUCAAGAAGUCUGUGUAAAAAUAGAACCAAUUCCUGGUGAAGCACCGAAAAUGUAUGGUCGUCAUUUUGAAGCAACUGAUAUGCUUGUCAGCAAGAUUAGUCGACAGUCCAUUGAUGCCCUGAAAGACUGGUUUAGAGAUGAAAUGCAGAAGUCUGACUGGCAACUUAUUGUGGAACUCAAGAAAGUAUUUGAAAUCAUCUAGGUUCUGUCAAACUUUGACCAAUGAUUAGCAAAAGCCCACAGUUCCUAUUAUAAGAACAACAGCAGCUUAUAAUAAAUAUGCUGUUGGCUUUAAAAAAACAUCUGGGAAAAAUGUGGAUAAAAUGUUUUCCAUGAGAAACCAAAUAACUUACACUGGUUUGACAGUGGUCAAUUUAUGUCCCUGUGGUUCCAAUGUGCCUGUGCAUCUUUCCCAAUGCCCUUCACUUUGUACUGGCUACUUUUAAAGUUUGCCCUUUCCAGUUCACAUCCCCAAAUUAAAAUAUAAUAAUUUUUUAUUAAGUAACUCAGCUUUCACUUUUAUACUAGUAAGAUCAGUACUACAGUAUUUGCCUAAUCAAACUCUUACACACUUUGUGAUUUUUUUGGACUUUUUCGAUGUAAGAAAUCUUUAUUUAUGCAUACCCUCUUUUCCCCUGAUUUUUUUUUCAUCACUUCUGCUUUGUGCCUAUAGAAAUUUAUUAUAGAAAAAUUAGGUAAUUGGCUAUCUGUAUUUGGUUGGUGUGAAACAAUGAUGUAAAGCAUAGUUGGCUGCCUUUUAUUGCUUGUACAGUUUAUGAAAUUUGGCAAAUUAAUCAUUAAUUCUGAGCGGCAAAUAAAGUAAACGAACAUUACUCUGAUAAUUUAAUUCCUAAUAAAGGCAGUGCAGCAUGCAAAUAUAUCUGUCAAAA